GACGAACGCUGGCGGCGUGCUUAACACAUGCAAGUCGAACGGAAAGGCCCUGCUUUUGUGGGGUGCUCGAGUGGCGAACGGGUGAGUAACACGUGAGUAACCUGCCCUUGACUUUGGGAUAACUUCAGGAAACUGGGGCUAAUACCGGAUAGGAGCUCCUGCUGCAUGGUGGGGGUUGGAAAGUUUCGGCGGUUGGGGAUGGACUCGCGGCUUAUCAGCUUGUUGGUGGGGUAGUGGCUUACCAAGGCUUUGACGGGUAGGCGGCCUGAGAGGGUGACCGGCCACAUUGGGACUGAGAUACGGCCCAGACUCCUACGGGAGGCAGCAGUGGGGAAUAUUGCACAAUGGGCGGAAGCCUGAUGCAGCAACUCCGCGUGCGGGAUGACGGCCUUCGGGUUGUAAACCGCUUUCGCCUGUGACGAAGCGUGAGUGACGGUAAUGGGUAAAGAAGCACCGGCUAACUACGUG
This 468-nucleotide ribosomal RNA is filed under the name uncultured bacterium. Its description in RNAcentral is "partial 16S ribosomal RNA". It matches the Rfam family "Bacterial small subunit ribosomal RNA", at positions 28 to 507 of the family's 1533-position model. The record is from RNAcentral.